This 77-nucleotide transfer RNA is filed under the name Roseibacillus ishigakijimensis. RNAcentral's name for it is "tRNA-Thr". It matches the Rfam family "tRNA". Rfam says of the family: Transfer RNA (tRNA) molecules are approximately 80 nucleotides in length. Their secondary structure includes four short double-helical elements and three loops (D, anti-codon, and T loops). The record is from RNAcentral. Lineage: Bacteria; Pseudomonadati; Verrucomicrobiota; Verrucomicrobiia; Verrucomicrobiales; Verrucomicrobiaceae.
GCCGGCUUAGCUUCAGUUGGUAGAGCAUCCGACUUGUAAUCGGAGGGUCAUCGGUUCGAAUCCGAUAGCCGGCUCCA